AGUCAUGCAAAGUACAAGUUACAGCUCCUGAAAUUUUGACAUUUAUGCUAAAGUUAGACAAUGCACUAGAAAGGCAGAUAUUCAGAAGAAUUUAUGAAGUUCUUAACAAUCUGCAAGGAAUGAACUUAGUAAGUUUUCUCAAGUCUUAAAGAUUUUGACGAGUAAAGCAGAGUUCUGUUAUAAUUCAUUAUGCUAGAAUAUUAGAGUCCGUAAGAGGUAAAUGUUAAGGUUGUAAAAGAAAAAAAGAGAUUUGAGAAUGAAUUGCUUGCUUAAUCCCUCAAGUAUGUUCUUAAGUUGCCAUAAAUAUUCUCAAUUUUUGGAGCCACAAAGUAAUUUGUAAGAAUAUUUACUAGUAAUUUGUAGCUGCACUAGUACUUUCAUCUGCAUUUUAAAGUGUUUUAAAUUUCAGUUCUUUUCACUUGCAACAACCACUGGGCAAUCUAUCUUCACAUCGGUGCAAGAUUGUUUAGUAUGACAUUUCAAGAGGAUAUAACCUUAGCUUAAGAUAGAUAUGGCUUAUCCCUGACAGUUGAUGGAAGAAAAAACCUUAUCCUACGACACAACUCUCUUAAUUCAUGAUACAAAAAACCACAUUAGAUUAAAAAGUAUCUCAUCCUACUCUUUCUUGCAUUCUCAAACUUGACCCUUUUGUGUGACAG
This 659-nucleotide long non-coding RNA is filed under the name Solanum tuberosum (potato). RNAcentral describes it as "long non-coding RNA (STUB_LNC011370)". The record is from RNAcentral. Lineage: Eukaryota; Viridiplantae; Streptophyta; Magnoliopsida; Solanales; Solanaceae.